GAUCAUGGCUCAGGAUGAACGCUAGCUACAGGCUUAACACAUGCAAGUCGAGGGGGCAUCAGUUUGGUUUGCUUGCAAACCAAAGCUGGCGACCGGCGCACGGGUGAGUAACACGUAUCCAACCUACCUCAUACGUCGGGGAUAGCCUUUCGAAAGAAAGAUUAAUAUCCGAUAGCAUAUAUUUCCCGCAUUGGGUUUUAUAUUAAAGAAAUUCGGUAUGAGAGUGGGGAUGCGUUCCAUUAGUUUUGGGG
Molecule: ribosomal RNA, 251 nt
Filed under: uncultured bacterium
Lineage: Bacteria
Description: partial 16S ribosomal RNA
Rfam family: Bacterial small subunit ribosomal RNA
Source: RNAcentral